GGGGGGGAAUGGACCGGGCGCGGCGGCCGCAGCGGCCGGAGCCGGCGCUUGAGCUCGAGCGAAGGCGCUGGCGGAGACGCCGGCUGCUCCUCCCCUCCCCGCCGGUUUUCCUAAGAGGAGUUCUGCACACCCUAGAAGUACUUAAGGAAGAAUAAUGAAGAUAGGCAUGAAGCCUUCGUCUCACAGCUGCAUGCAUAGUCACUGCUGAAGCAAAUGCCUACCUAAUUUGACAGUCUUGGUGUGUUUAAAAAUUUUGAGUUUGCAAAUAAGCAUAUUAAGUCUGCUGAUGGAGCCGUCAGGCAGUGAACAGUUUUAUGAGGACCCUGAUCCUGGAGGCAGAUCCCAAGAUGCAGAGGCCAGAAAGCAGACAGAUUCAGAACAAAAGUUAUCUAAAAUGACCCACAAUGCUUUGGAGAACAUUAAUGUGAUUGGCCAAGGCUUGAAGCAUCUCUUCCAGCACCAGCGCAGGAGGUCAUCAGUGUCUCCACAUGAUGUGCAGCAAAUUCAGGCAGAUCCAGAACCUGAAAUGGAUCUGGAAAGCCAGAACACAUGUGCUGAGAUUGAUGGUGUCCCCACCCACCCCACAGCUCUGAAUCGUGUUCUGCAGCAGAUUCGAGUACCACCCAAGAUGAAGAGAGGGACAAGCUUGCAUAGUAGGCGGGGCAAGCCAGAGGCCCCAAAGGGAAGUCCUCAGAUCAACAGGAAGUCUGGUCAGGAGAUGGCACCUGUUAUACAGUCAGGCCGACCCAGAUCUUCAUCCACGACUGAUGCUCCUACCAGCUCUGCUGUGAUGGAAAUAGCUUGUGCAGCUGCUGCAUGUCUACCAGGAGAGGAAGCAACUGCAGAACGAAUCGAACGGUUGGAAGUAAGCAGCCUCGCCCAGACUUCCAGUGCGGUGGCCUCUAGCACCGAUGGCAGCAUCCACACAGAGUCUGUGGAUGGAGUACCAGACCCUCAGCGUACAAAGGCUGCCAUUGCUCACCUGCAACAGAAGAUCCUAAAGCUCACAGAACAGAUCAAGAUUGCACAAACAGCCCGGGAUGACAACGUUGCUGAAUACUUGAAGCUUGCCAACAGCGCAGACAAGCAGCAGGCUGCCCGCAUCAAACAGGUCUUUGAAAAGAAGAACCAGAAAUCUGCCCAAACCAUCCUCCAGCUACAGAAGAAGCUUGAGCACUACCACCGGAAGCUCAGAGAGGUAGAACAGAAUGGGAUCCCCCGACAGCCAAAGGAUGUCUUCAGGGACAUGCAUCAGGGUCUGAAGGAUGUGGGAGCCAAGGUGACAGGCUUCAGUGAAGGUGUGGUGGAUAGUGUCAAAGGUGGCUUUUCCAGCUUUUCCCAGGCCACACAUUCAGCAGCAGGAGCUGUGGUCUCAAAACCCAGGGAGAUUGCCUCACUGAUUCGAAACAAAUUUGGCAGUGCAGACAAUAUCCCCAACCUGAAGGACUCUUUAGAGGAGGGACAAGUGGAUGAUGGGGGCAAGGCUUUGGGGGUGAUUUCAAACUUUCAGUCAAGCCCAAAAUAUGGUAGUGAGGAAGAUUGUUCUAGUGCCACUUCAGGAUCAGUGGGAGCCAACAGCACCACUGGAGGCAUUGGUGUAGGAGCGUCCAGCUCCAAAACAAACACUUUGGACAUGCAGAGCUCGGGAUUUGAUGCACUGCUACAUGAGGUCCAGGAGAUCCGGGAAACCCAGGCAAGACUCGAGGAAUCUUUUGAGACCCUCAAGGAACAUUAUCAAAGGGACUAUUCCUUAAUCAUGCAGACCUUACAGGAGGAGCGAUAUAGAUGUGAGCGAUUAGAAGAACAGCUAAAUGACCUAACAGAACUGCACCAGAAUGAAAUCUUGAACUUAAAGCAGGAAUUGGCCAGCAUGGAAGAGAAAAUUGCGUACCAGUCCUAUGAGCGGGCCCGGGACACCCAGGAGGCCCUGGAGGCAUGCCAGACCCGCAUCUCCAAGAUGGAGCUGCAGCAGCAGCAGCAGCAGGUGGUACAGCUGGAAGGGCUGGAGAAUGCCACUGCCCGGAACCUUCUGGGCAAACUCAUCAACAUCCUCCUGGCCGUCAUGGCCGUCCUUUUAGUGUUUGUGUCCACAGUCGCCAACUGUGUGGUCCCCCUCAUGAAGACUCGCAACAGGACGUUCAGCACUUUAUUCCUUGUGCUUUUCGGUGCCUUUCUCUGGAAGCACUGGGAUGCGCUCUUCAGCUACGUGGCCCGGCUCUUCUCCCCCCCCAGAUGAUGCUGCUCAGGGCUCCCCCCUGGAGCGUGCAGCACCCACGCUGACCUGUCCCACCACAAGAGCGUUGAGUGAAUCUGUUUACAUUAGAAUAACAUUCUUUUCUUCAAGAGACGCAAUUGCAAUAGUAUUUUUUAGAUUUUAUCCAAGAAGUUUUUUGGGCGAAAUCUUGGAUCAUUUUUAUGUAGCAUGAUUUUCCUUGGGAUGCAAAUCUUAAACAGUCCUUUAACAUGAACCAACAAUCGGGAGCACACUGAAGGGCAUUCUAAAUUGUGGCUUGAAGGACUGCACUAAAACCCACUAAAAAGAUGCAAAGACCUAACUAGGGCACACCAGUGACACCUAACACCCAGCCCUGUCUGGGCUCACGCCAUGCUUCCCUGUCCCAGACUAACUCUACUGUGAAGUCCUACCACAUUCCAGGUCUGAAUUUUUGGAUUCAGGGUGGACUUUCCCUCAUCUGUGGAAGAACACGUGGAUCUCCCUGGCUUUCUCACCCGUUGGCCAUUCAUGCUAACACUGGAAGUCUGAUCCCUUCUGGACCUGGUCCCUUAAACUUUGCCAGGAUACGGAAGGGAGAGCGUCUCGCCCGCAGGACCGCUGCACGGCCCUCACAGUGAUUCUUCUAACGAGCAGAAAAGGAAAGGUCAGGUUAGAAGGAUCCAGGUUUUGGGUGCACACUGUUGCCAGCUUCCUGUUAACCUAGACUGACUGACUAACCUGAUAUGCGCAGUGGACUUGUAUGGGCAGUUGAGAAAGAUGAACAGAGCUUGCUUCCCCAUCCUGAAUACAGUUCGGUCAUCCUGGUGGAACUUGAACUUUCAUAGCUUACCUAGAGAGCUUGGUUAAUGUUUCCGUGUGACUUAAGAGUAUUGGUUCUCUCCUGGCCUCUCUCUGUACUGCUGUGGUGCACAGAGGGCAUGUGCUGUGUCCUGAAACCCCACUAGGACCUUCUUUUGGAACUACAGUAGCAUUGCCCUGUCUGCCAGGAUGGUCACCUUAUAGCUCCAACCUCCUUUCACUUUGCUGAGCUGGCCCUCUUAAGUCAGCGUGCUGUCUCCAUACCCACUUGAUAUUUUAACUCAGGUACCCCAGUCUUCACCCCAUCCCCAGAUGACUGUCAUUCACCUCACUAUUACACCCACAGCAGGGACCACAGGGAUGAUUUUUCUUUUUAAAAACUCAUUAGGACCCAUUCGUGUUCAUGCCAAAACAAAUUAUCCCUGUGAGCCUAUAUACUUAAAAUGUAUAACUUUGCCUAAAAAUAUUGCAGUGACUUCAGGCAGAAGUGCCAAAGGACACAAUGACCUUGCAAACUAGCCAUUGCUGCUGUAGCUUAGUCAUUUGGUGCAGAAGAGAACCCCCUAAGGUUACUGGGAAGAUGCUCCACUAAGUCUGUGGUUUUUCUAAGGUGGAACUUUUGAGUCUCCUACUGCAUGCAGACUUACUAAGUUUUGCAGGCACUGGAUGUCACUGUGAUAGAUGGGUCGAAAUUAAUCCCUUUUGCCUUGAGACAGUUUGUAUCAAAGGAAGGAUCUCACCUCUGGAAAGCCCCUGGAGCUCCAGCCAAACAUACCCACACUGACUUUCCAUCUUCCUCUCAAACUGUCUUGGGAAAGCCUUUCAGUGCAGGUCAGGCACAGUCAGCUUUCUUGCUCAUUUGUCUCCAGUCACUCACCAGGCCCAACAGUUGUCUGUAUUUACUGCUCUUGGUAACAUACUACUGUUCUCAUGCCUGCCUGUAUGUUUUGCUGCCUGUCCCUGUUGCCUUUGCGUUUCUUUGCAUUGUGGCUGUUCUUGGACUUUUGUCUGUUCAAAAAGCACUUCUGUAACCCUGCUCUUACAGUUUAACAGUUCUGAGAGGAACAUACCCUCACUCUCAUGCUUCUUCUCUUUGAAAAAAGGACUGUGUGCUUUCCCUGUGAAAUGAAGCAUUUCUUCACUACUUGUUCAUGCUGGUGCCUAGCCUGGGUGAGUGAGGCUGGCUGUGCUGGCCUGGGUGACUCUGCUCAGGUUGUAGAAUGGCCAUUGUUCUAUAUUGUUCAUGGUAAUUGAAGGGCUGUCUGCUCCAAUUUCAGUACCUUGGUAUACUCAGUGCAUCCUUAAGAUGGAAAAGCAGGUUAAAUUUUGUACAUUACUGACUGGGUGGGGGUUCUUCUCUCUCCCAUGUCCCAAUUGGAGUAAAAAUCCGAUGCCAAGAAGAACUGUGGAAUCAAGCCUUCCUUGCUGGCUGUGUCCUAAAAUUAAGAGUAUUUCCAUGUGGUCUUCACUGCAUUUGGUUUUGUUUCUGAUUUGAUGUUCCUUUGAGGUACAGUCAGAGGAAAUGCUGGAUUCCAAGUGAGUUCCAAUGAGGAGCUGCCUUUCAGCUUUGGAAAAUCUGCAUUCAAAAUCAAAUCUUAUAAUCAUCAAACUGACACAGGCAAAAUUACAGUUCCCACACCAUCACCCUCAACGAAACCUGGGAUUUUGAAUGUGACUCCAAGAGUUAACAUUUCUGUCUGUGUGUUGUGUAUGCUAGGUGACACCCUCAGUAGGGAUUGACUACUAGACUGUACGUGUGCUUUAUCAAAGUGUGUAAGAAUAAAAACUCACAUGCACGAACUGAAAAGUAAGAAACGACACUUGUGAAUGCGUGAACAUUAACACUGUAGUUGAUAGAUCUUAAGCUGCUAAUUGUUGAGAGAGAAUUAAAUUUAUGUGCUGUCUGGUAGCUGCUGAUUCUCAGCAGCACUUUUACUGUACAUAUAAAUUGAAAUAAAGACCUCAGCUAUUAACUCGGUGAUUGGACUCAGGUUUGUUUUGCUCUUUAUUUUUGCGUAUUGUUUCCAGUGGCAAGUGCAUCAGUCUGAAACCUGCCCACUGGUUGUUCACUGCAAAGUGUGUGUAUGUGUGUAUUUUCAGGUGUCCCAAAGCCAUAAUGGCAACUGGGCAGUGGCUACAACCGCCCUGGAUUUAAUAAACAUCAUUUCAGAUGGGCACUUUACCCAUAAUUCAUUUAGAACAGUAGAUGAGACUGAUUUUCAUUUCUUUCCAUGGGCAUUCAGGCAGUGCCCCCAAAUCUAAUGACUCCAAAAUGGGCAUCAUAAUCCCUCUGUACUUCCAAGGUUUUGCGAAAAUUAUUACUGAUGUGUGGAAACAUUCUUUGUCAGCCAUCUUAACAUUUGAUGUUCCUAUGUGUGUGUAAAGACAGUCUAAGCCUAUCUGUGGUUUUUUAAAGAAUUUCUUUUUUUGCAGCUCUGGAGAUGGAACCCAGGGCCUUGCACGUGCUAACCACACCCCACCCCAAGAUAUAGUAAUUUGUGUUAGGAUUUCUCCCUCAUGAACCCUGGAAGUCCAGAAGCUCUGAACUUGCCUGUGACAGUGCAUCAGACAGGCUCUGAUGACUCCACAACCCAGUGUGAAUGUCAGAACCCCAGUCUAGUUUACUAGCUCUGCAUCUCUUACCCCAUCUAUAAACUAGUGAGGUGAGAGCUUUAAAACUAAAAAAUGCAUGGCUCACCUGGAGGAUUCUGGUGUAUUAUUUUUAAAUUCCAUGGGCCAAAGAACACCAGCUACACUUGUAACUUUGCAUCUGUGUAGUUAGUGAAGAUCAGCUCAGUACUUAGUACCAGGCACGUGCAGUUACCUCAGCUAGUUCUCCUUGCAGUCACUGUGAAGGUAAGGGAACUGAAGCUUGGCUGCCCAAGCCAGGUGUGGUGGGGCAUACUUGUAAUCCCAGCACUCGUGAACUAAGACAGGAGGGUCACCAAGUACAAGGUCAGCCUGGCUACAUAUUGGGACCCUGUCUUAAAACACCAAGGGCUGGGAAUGUGGCUUGUCUAACGUGCAAGGCACCGGGAUCCAUCCCCAGGACACAGUAGAAAAUGGGUGCCUAUAACACCUGACUGUCAGAGUAUAAGCCAAGAAAUAUCCCAGGAAAAUCGUUCACAGAAAAAUAGAUAUCCAGUCAACAUUCCAGAAAAAUGUUCAGCUUCCUGU
Castor canadensis (American beaver) is the source of this 6211-nucleotide non-coding RNA. Lineage: Eukaryota; Metazoa; Chordata; Mammalia; Rodentia; Castoridae. The record is from RefSeq and is a predicted model, not a curated record.